UACGAAGGGGGCUAGCGUUGCUCGGAAUGACUGGGCGUAAAGGGCGCGUAGGCGGAUGGUACAGUCAGAUGUGAAAUUCCCGGGCUCAACCUGGGGGCUGCAUUUGAUACGUGCUGUCUUGAGUUCGGAAGAGGGUCGUGGAAUUCCCAGUGUAGAGGUGAAAUGCGUAGAUAUUGGGAGGAACACCAGUGGCGAAGGCGGCUCACUGGACCGGAACUGACGCUGAGGCGCGAAAGCGUGGGGAGCAAACGGG
Molecule: ribosomal RNA, 253 nt
Filed under: uncultured bacterium
Lineage: Bacteria
Description: partial 16S ribosomal RNA
Rfam family: Bacterial small subunit ribosomal RNA
Source: RNAcentral